This 253-nucleotide ribosomal RNA is filed under the name uncultured bacterium. Its description in RNAcentral is "partial 16S ribosomal RNA". It matches the Rfam family "Bacterial small subunit ribosomal RNA", at positions 524 to 776 of the family's 1533-position model. The record is from RNAcentral.
UACGUAGGGUGCAAGCGUUGUCCGGAAUUAUUGGGCGUAGAGAGCUCGUAGGCGGUUUGUUGCGUCGGCUGUGAAAUCCCGAGGCUCAACCUCGGGUCUGCAGUCGAUACGAGCAAACUAGAGUGUUGCAGGGGAGACUGGAAUUCCUGGUGUAGCGGUGAAAUGCGCAGAUAUCAGGAGGAACACCGGUGGCGAAGGCGGGUCUCUGGGCAACAACUGACGCUGAGGAGCGAAAGCGUGGGGAGCGAACAGG